GACGAACCGUGCGAACGUUGUUCGGAAUCACUGGGCUUAAAGGGCGCGUAGGCGGCUUGUCAAGUCAGGGGUGAAAUCUUUCGGCUCAACCGGAAAAGUGCCUUUGAUACUGAUAAGCUAGAGGGAGGUAGGGGCAUGUGGAACUUCCGGUGGAGCGGUGAAAUGCGUUGAUAUCGGAAGGAACGCCGGUGGCGAAAGCGACGUGCUGGCCCUCUUCUGACGCUGAGGCGCGAAAGCUAGUGGAGCGAACGGG
Molecule: ribosomal RNA, 253 nt
Filed under: uncultured bacterium
Lineage: Bacteria
Description: partial 16S ribosomal RNA
Rfam family: Bacterial small subunit ribosomal RNA
Source: RNAcentral